This 464-nucleotide ribosomal RNA is filed under the name Shuttleworthella satelles. RNAcentral describes it as "bacterial SSU rRNA". It matches the Rfam family "Bacterial small subunit ribosomal RNA", at positions 28 to 488 of the family's 1533-position model. The record is from RNAcentral. Lineage: Bacteria; Bacillati; Bacillota; Clostridia; Lachnospirales; Lachnospiraceae.
GAUGAACGCUGGCGGCGUGCUUAACACAUGCAAGUCGAACGAGAAAUGAUAUUACGAUCUCUUCGGAGUGACGGUUUUAUUUCGAGUGGCGGACGGGUGAGUAACGCGUGAGCAACCUGCCCUAUACCGGGGGAUACCAGUUGGAAACGACUGUUAAUACCGCAUAAGCGCACGAUAAGACAUCUUGUUGUGUGAAAAACUCCGGUGGUAUAGGAUGGGCUCGCGUAUGAUUAGCCAGUUGGCGGGGUAAAGGCCCACCAAAGCGACGAUCAUUAGCCGACCUGAGAGGGCGACCGGCCACAUUGGGACUGAGACACGGCCCAAACUCCUACGGGAGGCAGCAGUGGGGAAUAUUGCACAAUGGGCGAAAGCCUGAUGCAGCGACGCCGCGUGAGUGAGGAAGUAUUUCGGUAUGUAAAGCUCUAUCAGCAGGGAAGAAAGAAAUGACGGUACCCUGAGUAAGA